Non-coding RNA from Equus quagga, 666 nucleotides. The record is from the annotation of a RefSeq genome assembly. NCBI's taxonomy places the organism in Eukaryota, Metazoa, Chordata, Mammalia, Perissodactyla, Equidae.
AGCCCUGAGAUUCACAAUUGUUCCCAUUCGGUGAUCAGGACUGAACACAGACGACUCAUCAUGAAGUUUGGGCUGAGCUGGGUUUUCCUUGUUGCUAUUUUAACAGGUGUCCAGUGUGAGGUGCAGCUGGUGGAGUCUGGGGGAGGCCUGGUGAAGCCUGGGGGGUCUCUGAGACUCUCCUGUGCAGCCUCUGGAUUCACUUUUGAUGACUAUGCCAUGCACUGGGUUAGACAGGCUCCAGGAAAAGGACUUGAGUGGGUGUCAUUCAUUAGCUGGAGUGGUGGUAGCACACACUACGCUGACUCCGUGAAGGGCCGAUUCACCAUCUCCAGAGACAACGCCAAGAACACGCUCUAUCUGCAAAUGAACAGCCUGAGAGACGAGGACACGGCCGUGUAUUACUGUGCAGGAAACACAGUGAGGGGAAGUCAGCAAGUCCUGAGAGCACAGCCCCCCAGCAUGGACUGGAGCUGGAGCAUCCUCUUCUUGGUGGCAGUGGCUACAGGUGUCUCCUCUGAGCUCCAGCUGGUGCAGUCUGGGGCUGAGAAGUUCCAGGGCAGAGUCACCAUGACUGCGGACAAGUCCACGAGCACAGUCUACAUGGAGCUGAGCAGUCUGGCAUCUGAGGACACAGCCGUGUAUUACUGUGCAAAAGACACAGUGUGA